Cuculus canorus (common cuckoo) is the source of this 2601-nucleotide RNA transcript. It is a transcript of the gene named MSL complex subunit 3, with no coding region annotated. Lineage: Eukaryota; Metazoa; Chordata; Aves; Cuculiformes; Cuculidae. The record is from RefSeq and is a predicted model, not a curated record. The transcript is spliced from 16 exons.
UCCCGCGGCGGCGGGGGAGGCGGGGCUGCCCUCCGUUGCGCCAUGAUGAGCAAAUGACCUCGCGGGGAAUGAAAUUUAAGUUCCACCGUGGGGAGAGAGUUCUCUGCUUCGAGCCCGACCCCACCAAGGCUAAAGUCCUCUAUGAUGCCAAGAUUGUUGAUAUUAUUGUUGGAAAAGAUGAGAAAGGCAGAAAGAUUCCAGAAUAUCUGAUCCAUUUUAACGGUUGGAACAGAAGCUGGGAUAGAUGGGCAGCAGAAGAUCAUGUUCUUCGUGAUACAGACGAAAACCGCAGAUUACAGCGUAAAUUGGCACGGAAGGCUGUGGCUCGCAUGAGAAGAAAGGGAAGAAAGAAGAGACGUUGCAGGUUGCCUGGUGUUGACUCUGUAUUAAAAAGCCUUCCUGCUGAAGAAAAUGAUGAAAGUAGUGAAAACUCUAUAAGUAGUUCUUCUUCUGAUGACAGUGAUGAAGGAACAGAUGAAGAAAUAAAAAGCGAAGAAAGUGACAUAGAAGACAGGGCAGAAAUGAAAGAAGAACAAGACACUCACACAAAAAGGGACAUGGAAGAAAGAGCAAUAAGCAUAGAAAUUCCUGAAGUCUUGAAAAAGAAGCUUGAGGAAGAUUGUUACUAUAUUAAUAGAAGAAAACGGUUAGUGAAGCUUCCUUGUCAGACAAAUAUAAUAACCAUCCUGGAGUCAUAUGUGAAACAUUUUGCCAUAAACGCUGCUUUUUCAGCUAAUGAAAGAUCUCGGCACCAUCAGAUGACUCCACAUGCUAAUAUGAAUCUUCAUUAUGUGCCACCAGAGAAAAAUGUUGAGCUAUGUAAAGAGAUGGUGGAUGGGCUCAGAAUAACCUUUGACUUCACACUUCCAUUAAUUUUGCUCUAUCCUUAUGAACAAGCUCAAUUCAAGAAGGUGACUUCAUCAAAAUUCUUUCUUCCCAUCAAAGAAAACUCAACAAAUACUAACAGAAAUCAAGAGGAGCUUUCCCCAAGUCCUCCUCUGUUGAAUCCACCAACACCUCAGUCAACCGACAGCCAGCCUGCGACAGGGGAGCCAGCCACACCAAAAAGACGAAAAGCUGAACCUGAAAUUCUGCAGUCGCUGAGACGUUCUACACGCCAUAGCUCUAACUGUGACAGGUUGUCGGAAAGCAGUGCUUCCCCGCAACCUAAAAGAAGGCAUCUUGAGACGCCAGCUUCUAUGCCAAAGCUCUUCUUGCACCUGGAAAAAAAAACCCCUGUCCAUAGUGGAUCAUCUUCACCUAUAACUUUAACUCCUAGCAAAGAGGGGAGUGCAGUUUUUACUGGCUUUGAAGGUAGAAGAAACAAUGAACUGAAUGAGGUUUUGUCCUGGAAAUUGAUGCCGGACAAUUAUCCACCAAGUGAUCAACCACCACCUCCCUCAUAUAUCUAUGGAUCUCAACACUUGCUACGAUUAUUUGUGAAGCUACCGGAAAUACUGGGGAAGAUGUCCUUUUCUGAUAAAAACCUAAAGGCUUUAGUAAAACACUUUGAAAUGUUUCUGAGGUACCUCACUAGCAUGCCUCCAGAGACUGCUUAAGUGAUGAGAAAUAACAGGCAAGAAGGUAAAAAACCAAAACAAAAUGGUACAACACUUCAGAAAGCUGUAGGAACCUGUGGUAGAGAGGGAAAUGGCUGCAUUGUGCCCUGUUACCUUUAUGUUCUGCGCAGGAGUAUAAAGCGUUUUUAGCAGAAUACCAUGAUGAUUUCUUCCCAGAAUCUGCUUAUGUAGCUGCAUGUGAAGCCUACUACAGUACUAAAAAUCCUCGGGCAAUCUACUGAAGCUAUUAAUAAAGAUUAAGUCCUGCUGUAUGUAGCCCAUGAUAAUGCUAUUUUUGCCACUUGGCUACAAGAUGAAGAUGAAGGAAUUAAAACAACUUCUGGAGUUGAAAUAGAGAAAUAUCUUCUAUGAUGGUUGGACUACUUAGGAAUGGAGAACUUCUUUUCAGAGAUGCGUAUAAACUGCUUUGAGUUUCUUAGAGGACUGAAUAUAACUCUGACUCCAGAUUAAUGAAGAAGCCUUGUUCUGACUUCUAAUGCAUAGGACUGCAUAGGACUGUUAAAGAGGAAAGGAAGCAAAAGCAGAUGCAUUAGCAACAGGACAUUUUCAUGGAGAUAGAUCAUCGUACUGUGUUUUAUUUUAGCUCAGCCUCUCCAACCUGAGAAAUAAGACUUGACAACGCAGUUAUGUGAAGAGAAUGCAUAACUGGUAUCUUAUGGAUUUUUUCCUCACAAAUUGCAGUUCAGUUUGUGGAACUGUCAUGUAAAGGUUUUUUUGCUGUUUGGCCAGCAUGACAUCUGCCUCAAGAAUAACUUUGUUGCUUGAAUGAAAGAUGUGUUGCUUACUUUGCAUUUUGCGAAGGUGUAUAUAGCUCUUUUCAUGGUAAGGCUGUCAGAGUUCUGAGGAGAGCAUACGUUGACAGUGAUUCAGCAUUUACCUGGCAGUAGAUGUUUUCCAGAGCCAUUAUGAAAGAACUAAUUUUCCACAAAUAACAGGAGAAGUCAAUAAAGUGAUGGCAGUUUAACUGGCAAACACUUCUUGUGUUAAUAAAGUUCACAGCAGCUGCUGUGUAAAUGUGUGA